RNAcentral lists this ribosomal RNA (253 nucleotides) under uncultured bacterium. RNAcentral's name for it is "partial 16S ribosomal RNA". It matches the Rfam family "Bacterial small subunit ribosomal RNA", at positions 524 to 776 of the family's 1533-position model. The record is from RNAcentral.
UACAGAGGCCUCGAGCGUUAGGCGGAAUCACUGGGCUUAAAGCGUGUGUAGGCGGACUUCUAAGUACCUUGUGAAAUCCCAUGGCUCAACCAUGGAACUGCUGGGCAUACUGGCGAUCUUGUGCCACCUAGGGGCGAGCGGAACAGAUGGUGGAGCGGUGAAAUGCGUAGAUAUCAUCUGGAACGCCAAUGGUGAAAACAGCUCGCUGGGGGUGUGCAGACGCUGAGACACGAAAGCCAGGGGAGCGAACGGG